This 427-nucleotide ribosomal RNA is filed under the name uncultured bacterium. Its description in RNAcentral is "partial 16S ribosomal RNA". It matches the Rfam family "Bacterial small subunit ribosomal RNA", at positions 355 to 774 of the family's 1533-position model. The record is from RNAcentral.
UGGGGAAUAUUGCACAAUGGGCGCAAGCCUGAUGCAGCCAUGCCGCGUGUAUGAAGAAGGCCUUCGGGUUGUAAAGUACUUUCAGCGGGGAGGAAGGCGAUAAGGUUAAUAACCUUGUCGAUUGACGUUACCCGCAGAAGAAGCACCGGCUAACUCCGUGCCAGCAGCCGCGGUAAUACGGAGGGUGCAAGCGUUAAUCGGAAUUACUGGGCGUAAAGCGCACGCAGGCGGUCUGUCAAGUCGGAUGUGAAAUCCCCGGGCUCAACCUGGGAACUGCAUUCGAAACUGGCAGGCUAGAGUCUUGUAGAGGGGGGUAGAAUUCCAGGUGUAGCGGUGAAAUGCGUAGAGAUCUGGAGGAAUACCGGUGGCGAAGGCGGCCCCCUGGACAAAGACUGACGCUCAGGUGCAAAAGCGUGGGGAGCAAACA